UACGGAGGGUGCAAGCGUUAUCCGGAUUCACUGGGUUUAAAGGGUGCGUAGGCGGGUUUGUAAGUCAGUGGUGAAAUCCCGGAGCUUAACUUCGGAACUGCCGUUGAUACUACAGGUCUUGAAUACUGGGGAGGUGAGCGGAAUAUGUCAUGUAGCGGUGAAAUGCUUAGAUAUGACAUAGAACACCGAUUGCGAAGGCAGCUCACUACACAGUUUAUUGACGCUGAGGCACGAAAGCGUGGGGAUCAAACAGGAUUAGAUACCCUGGUAGUCCACGCCCUAAACGAUGGAUACUCGACGUGUGUGAUAUGACAACAUGCGUCUGAGCGAAAGCAUUAAGUAUCCCACCUGGGAAGUACGACCGCAAGGUUGAA
This 374-nucleotide ribosomal RNA is filed under the name uncultured bacterium. Its description in RNAcentral is "bacterial SSU rRNA". It matches the Rfam family "Bacterial small subunit ribosomal RNA", at positions 524 to 898 of the family's 1533-position model. The record is from RNAcentral.